GCCAACUUUAACUGUUUUGCCGAAUUUUUAAGCCGCAUAUGUCAAGAAAAGUGUUGCAGUUAUAAGGACAGUGUAAGAUGUAAUGUAAGCGUACCAAGUAUGGUGGGGUUUUGGGACAUAGAGAAAUAGGUCUUCAUGUGGGAACAUGAAGACAAGUAUCCAGCUUAAUGCAGAGAUUAUAUGCCAUCCAACAUGUGCCGUUUCAGAAUCGAAACCUGGAAAACAUUGGAAUUUUAGGAGUCGUUUGGUAUGGGUGGUAUCUGAUAUGAUAUCGCCCAAUACCGUGGUAUUCGAGAUAUCUCCAUAUAUUGGAGCGCGAAUAUCAUGAUAUUCGAAGAUAUCAAUAUCACAAAACCGCGAGGAGAGUUUCUAAUAUCAUCCUAGUAUCAUUUCAUUCGGACAAAAAUACGCCCAAUUUUUACAUGCCACGUCACUUUGUGGGUGUCUUUGUAAUGAUUACAUUGUAAUAUAUAUGGUCAAUUUUGUCUAAAAUUGAGGGAAUAUUCGUUAAUACAUGUAACUAUCAUACUCACCAUAUGUCUAUAGAAUCCCUUCUCAAACUCAAUCUCAUCUAAUAUCGUGUACCAAACGACCCAUUAACCAUCAAAACAUUCUAAAUCUGAGAAGGGAAGUCUUUCAAUUUAAGAUUAACUGAAAUAAAAUGUUGCAAGCACGGCGAGAAAGCCAAAAGCUCUCUAGUACAAAAUGUAUCAUAGGUAAUUAUAUUAGGUUAAAAUCAUACAACAAAAGUAUAAGUAUAAUUGAUCCAUAUAAGAUACUGUCUCCGCACCAUCACAAUAUAAUAAAAUAAUUUGAAUUGAUGAAAAAUAUUAUCAAUCGGGCACUUGCCUUGAGGAAUAUGGGUGUAUCCAAGUAGCUUGGAUUUCUAUCAUGAAAUUUGCAUCAUCUGUUAAAAUCGAAUCAAUUAGGGUUAGUAGAGAAAGUAUUGAUAAAGCCAGAUGUGGAGAAGAUAUUCAGAUACAAUUAAUCAAUUAAGUAGCUACUUACGUAUUUUCUCAUAGAUUUGAAUGGAAAUCAAUAGAACUUGGGACUGUGAAGGUGUUCUUCAUAAUACACGGCAAA
This 1083-nucleotide long non-coding RNA is filed under the name Linum usitatissimum (flax). RNAcentral describes it as "long non-coding RNA (LUSI_LNC004174)". Lineage: Eukaryota; Viridiplantae; Streptophyta; Magnoliopsida; Malpighiales; Linaceae. The record is from RNAcentral.